GGUUGCGAUCAUACCAGCACUAAUGCACCGGAUCCGAUCAGAACUCCGCAGUUAAGCGUUUUUGGGCGAGAGUAGUACUAGGAUGGGUGACCCCUGGGAAGUCCUCGUGUUGCAACCC
This 118-nucleotide ribosomal RNA is filed under the name Helianthus annuus (common sunflower). The record is from RNAcentral. Lineage: Eukaryota; Viridiplantae; Streptophyta; Magnoliopsida; Asterales; Asteraceae.